GUGAGGAAUUUUCCGCAAUGGGCGAAAGCCUGACGGAGCAAUGCCGCGUGAAGGAUGAGGCCUAUGGGUUGUAAACUUCUUUUCUCAGAAAAGAAUUAUGACGGUAUCUGAGGAAUAAGCAUCGGCUAACUCUGUGCCAGCAGCCGCGGUAAGACAGAGGAUGCAAGCGUUAUCCGGAAUGAUUGGGCGUAAAGCGUCUGUAGGUUGUUUAAAAAGUAUUCUGUCAAAGAUUAGGGCUUAACCCUAGAUAGGCAGAAUAAACUUUUAAGCUAGAGUUUGGUAGAGGCAGAGGGAAUUCCCGGUGGAGCGGUGAAAUGCGUAGAUAUCGGGAGGAACACCAAAGGCGAAGGCACUCUGCUGGGCCAAUACUAACACUGAGAGACGAAAGCGAGGGGAGCAAAUGGGAUUAGAAACCCUGGUAGUCC
This 425-nucleotide ribosomal RNA is filed under the name uncultured bacterium. RNAcentral's name for it is "partial 16S ribosomal RNA". It matches the Rfam family "Bacterial small subunit ribosomal RNA", at positions 354 to 796 of the family's 1533-position model. The record is from RNAcentral.